RNAcentral lists this ribosomal RNA (466 nucleotides) under uncultured bacterium. RNAcentral's name for it is "partial 16S ribosomal RNA". It matches the Rfam family "Bacterial small subunit ribosomal RNA", at positions 28 to 507 of the family's 1533-position model. The record is from RNAcentral.
GAUGAACGCUGGCGGCGUGCUUAACACAUGCAAGUCGAACGGAAAGGCUCCUGCUUGCAGGGGUACUCGAGUGGCGAACGGGAGAGUAACACGUGGGUGACCUGCCCUGCACUUCGGGAUAAGCCUGGGAAACUGGGUCUAAUACCGGAUAGGACGAUGGUUUGGAUGCCAUUGUGGAAAGUUUUUUCGGUGUGGGAUGAGCUCGCGGCCUAUCAGCUUGUUGGUGGGGUAAUGGCCUGCCAAGGCGCCGACGGGUAGCCGGCCUGAGAGGGUGUACGGCCACAUUGGGACUGAGAUACGGCCCAGACUCCUACGGGAGGCAGCAGUGGGGAAUAUUGCACAAUGGGCGCAAGCCUGAUGCAGCGACGCCGCGUGGGGGAUGACGGCCUUCGGGUUGUAAACUCCUUUCGCUAGGGACGAAGCGCAAGUGACGGUACCUGGAGAAGAAGCACCGGCUAACUACGUG